AGAGUUUUCAUGGCUCAGAUUGAACGCUGGCGGCAGGCCUAACACAUGCAAGUCGAGCGAGAAAGCACUUCGGUGUGAGUAGAGCGGCGGACGUGUGAGUAACACGUAGGAAUUUGCCCAGUAGUGGGGGACAACAUGUGGAAACGCAUGCUAAUACCGCAUACGACCUUUAUUCGAGAGGUUAGGGGAUCCCCUGCUAUUGGAGAAGCCUGCGUCGGAUUAGCUAGUUGGUGGGGUAAAGGCCCACCAAGGCGACGAUCCGUAGCUGGUCUGAGAGGAUGAUCAGCCACACUGGGACUGAGACACGGCCCAGACUCCUACGGGAGGCAGCAGUGGGGAAUAUUGGACAAUGGGGGCAACCCUGAUCCAGCCAUGCCGCGUGUGUGAAGAAGGCCUUAGGGUUGUAAAGCACUUUCAGUAGGGAGGAAAAGUUAGUCGUUAAUAGCGGCUAACCCUGACGUUACCUACAGAAGAAGCACCGGCAAACUCCGUGCCAGCAGCCGCGGUAAUACGGAGGGUGCGAGCGUUAAUCGGAAUUACUGGGCGUAAAGCGCGCGUAGGCGGCCUGAUAAGUUGGAUGUGAAAGCCCUGGGCUCAACCUAGGAACUGCAUUCAAAACUGUCAGGCUAGAGUAUGGUAGAGGAUAGUGGAAUUUCCGGUGUAGCGGUGAAAUGCGUAGAGAUCGGAAGGAAUAUCAGUGGCGAAGGCGGCCCCCUGGCUUGAUACUGACGCUCAGGUGCGAAAGCGUGGGGAGCGAACAGGAUUAGAUACCCUGGUAGUCCACGCCGUAAACGAUGUCGACUAGCCGUUGGGGAGCUUGACUUCUUAGUGGCGCAGUUAACGCGAUAAGUCGACCGCCUGGGGAGUACGGCCGCAAGGUUAAAACUCAAAUGAAUUGACGGGGGCCCGCACAAGCGGUGGAGCAUGUGGUUUAAUUCGAUGCAACGCGAAGAACCUUACCAAGACUUGACAUCCUAGAAAGUUACCAGAGAUGGUUUCGUGCCUUCGGGAAUCUAGUGACAGGUGCUGCAUGGCUGUCGUCAGCUCGUGUUGUGAAAUGUUGGGUUAAGUCCCGUAACGAGCGCAACCCUUGUCCUUAGUUGCUAGCAGGUAAUGCUGAGAACUCUAAGGAGACUGCCGGUGACAAACCGGAGGAAGGUGGGGACGACGUCAAGUCAUCAUGGCCCUUACGUCUUGGGCUACACACGUGCUACAAUGGCCGGUACAAAGGGUUGCCAAGCCGCGAGGUGGAGCUAAUCCCAUAAAACCGGUCGUAGUCCGGAUCGGAGUCUGCAACUCGACUCCGUGAAGUCGGAAUCGCUAGUAAUCGUAGAUCAGAAUGCUACGGUGAAUACGUUCCCGGGCCUUGUACACACCGCCCGUCACACCAUGGGAGUGGGUUGCUCCAGAAGUGGCUAGUCUAACUGCUUGCAGAGGACGGUCACCACGGAGUCCGAUGACUGGGGUGAAGUCGUAACAAGGUAACC
RNAcentral lists this ribosomal RNA (1487 nucleotides) under uncultured prokaryote. RNAcentral describes it as "partial 16S ribosomal RNA". It matches the Rfam family "Bacterial small subunit ribosomal RNA". The record is from RNAcentral.